CCUACGGGUGGCAGCAGUGAGGAAUAUUGGUCAAUGGGCGCGAGCCUGAACCAGCCAAGUAGCGUGAAGGAUGACUGCCCUACGGGUUGUAAACUUCUUUUGUAAAGGAAUAAAGUGAGGCACGUGAGCCUUUGUGUAUGUACUUUAUGAAAAAGGAUCGGCUAACUCCGUGCCAGCAGCCGCGGUAAUACGGAGGAUCCGAGCGUUAUCCGGAUUUAUUGGGUUUAAAGGGAGCGGAGAUGGGUUGUUAAGUCAGUUGUGAAAGUUUGCGGCUCAACCGUAAAAGUGCAAUUGAUACUGGCAGCCUUGAGUACAGUUGAGGUAGGCGGAAUUCGUGGUGUAGCGGUGAAAUGCUUAGAUAUCACGAAGAACUCCGAUUGCGAAGGCAGCUUACUAAACUGCCACUGACAUUGAUGCUCGAAAGUGUGGGUAUCAAACAGGAUUAGAUACCCCAGUAGUC
This 460-nucleotide ribosomal RNA is filed under the name uncultured bacterium. RNAcentral's name for it is "partial 16S ribosomal RNA". It matches the Rfam family "Bacterial small subunit ribosomal RNA", at positions 338 to 795 of the family's 1533-position model. The record is from RNAcentral.